Molecule: small nuclear RNA, 106 nt
Organism: Heterocephalus glaber (naked mole-rat)
Lineage: Eukaryota; Metazoa; Chordata; Mammalia; Rodentia; Bathyergidae
Source: Ensembl
GCUCACUUUGGCAGCAUAUGUUAAAACUGGAAUGAUACAGACAAGAUUACCAUGAGGCCUCCACAGGGAUGCCCCAAAGCAAAUUUAUGAAAUGUUCCAUGUUUUA